UUUUCAAUGCGGCGCAGACAUGCAGUCACUUAUCCUUUGGUCGUUGGACUGGCUGGUCGACAUCGCUCCUGAGAUCUGCUGAAAAAGCACUCCCAGACGUAUGUAUAGAUGAGGUGGUCGAUACGAUGUCAAUUGGUAAAACAAAAGGUAAAACAGGUAACCAUAAUGAGGCUUUCUCCAGGUAAGAAAACGUCAUGUACCAACCAAAUUAUCAUUGCGGCAUUUUCCCCCACCAAAUUUUAAUUUACAUAAGUAUGUCUACUGGAAAGUGGUAUAUAGAUUUGUAUGUAUCCAAACAUCCCUCGAAAAUCCGUGUAUAUCUAAUAUCUGGACAACCACCUGAAAAUUGAAUACAUACUAAAUUACCUGUUCAAAGGGUUGAUAGAUAGAUACACAUCUUUAUAUAUCUAGGAAUCUAUAUACAUACAUAUAUAGCUGCCAUGCAUACAUGCAAGUGACUUGCAAAUGAGAAAUGCAUAGCUAGAACUAUAUAGGAACAGAACAUCCCGCCGUAUCCGUCGAUGCUUUAAAUAGUAAAAAGACAAAUAUUUUUCCCAACCACUCAGCAUGGGCUCUUUUCCACUGUUCAAAGCAAAGACAGCUGCGGGUUGUUCCGUUUGAAAAAUCAGCAGGAGUAGAAUUAAGAUAAUUAAAAGUGAUUUUAGAGUCUGUAAAUGCCGUUAUUAAAGAUGUGGCGCAGAAGUUUGCAACUUAAACGAUAUCCCGCACUUGUCGCUGGCUAUUGUGCAAGUCAUCGUUAAUGUUGCCGGAUUCUGUGACCUAUAGUACAACCACAAAUAGUAUUUAUAAAAUUGGUAGGCCAGACUAAUAUAAGAAGUGCAAGGAAGUACCUUUACUAUAAAAGAACAGAACUUCCCGCCGUAUUUGUCGAUGCUUUCAUUAGUAAAAAGACAAAUAUUUUUCCCAGAAAUCAGCUUGGGCUCUUUUCUACUACUCAAAGCAAAAACGACGGCGCGUUGUUCUGUUUAUCAGCUCAGCUGAAAUAUUAUUAAUAGUAUAAUUAAGAUGGCUAAAGGUGAAUUAACGAACCGGUGAUACACUAAUAUUAAACAUAUGGUGCAGAAGUUUGCAACUUAAACGAUAUCCCGCACUUGUCGCUGGCUAUCGUGCAAGUCAUCGUUAAUGUUGCCGGAUUCUGUGACCUAAGACAACAAGCAAUGAACAUUAAAAAUAUGAGCUAAGACGAGUUUUGAUAAAGCUAAUGCGUAGCCCAUCAUUUGUCCCGUUAUCAAUCUAUUUUCUGCUUUAAAUGUAUAUAUAUUCCCCAGUUUUCUGAAGUAGCGGAUGGCAAGGAAGUCACCAUACAUCACGGAACGAGGUCAACGUCCAACAACUUCAAAUUCUUUCAAUCAAAUAUUGUAUUUAUAUAUUUAUUCCAUUAAAAAAUGUUUAUUUGUAUUACUUGGAUAUAA
Drosophila mojavensis is the source of this 1433-nucleotide long non-coding RNA. RefSeq lists it as uncharacterized. The record is from RefSeq and is a predicted model, not a curated record. The transcript is spliced from 2 exons. NCBI's taxonomy places the organism in Eukaryota, Metazoa, Arthropoda, Insecta, Diptera, Drosophilidae.